UGCCAGCCGCCGCGGUAAUACGUAGGUGACAAGCGUUAUCCGGAAUUACUGGGCGUAAAGCGCGCGCAGGCGGUUGGUCAAGUCCGGCGUGAAAUCUCCUGGCUCAACUGGGAGAGGUCGUUGGAAACUGAUCGGCUUGAGGCGAUGAGAGGGGUACGGAAUUCCAGGUGUAGUGGUGGAAUGCGUAGAUAUCUGGAGGAACACCAGUGGCGAAAGCGGUACCCUGGCAUUUGCCUGACGCUCAUGUGCGAAAGCGUGGGGAGCGAACGGGAUUAGAUA
RNAcentral lists this ribosomal RNA (279 nucleotides) under uncultured bacterium. RNAcentral's name for it is "partial 16S ribosomal RNA". It matches the Rfam family "Bacterial small subunit ribosomal RNA", at positions 506 to 784 of the family's 1533-position model. The record is from RNAcentral.